RNAcentral lists this ribosomal RNA (118 nucleotides) under uncultured bacterium. RNAcentral's name for it is "partial 16S ribosomal RNA". It matches the Rfam family "Bacterial small subunit ribosomal RNA", at positions 1357 to 1482 of the family's 1533-position model. The record is from RNAcentral.
AUACGGUGAAUACGUUCCCGGACCUUGUACACACCGCCCCGUCAAGCCAUGGAAGCUGGGUGUACCUAAAGUCGGUAACCGUAAGGAGCCGCCUAGGGUAAAACUAGUAACUGGGGCU